RNAcentral lists this microRNA (23 nucleotides) under Canis lupus familiaris (dog). Lineage: Eukaryota; Metazoa; Chordata; Mammalia; Carnivora; Canidae. The record is from RNAcentral.
UGCCCAGGAUGGCGCUCAUUACG